GCUCAUCAGACCCCAGAAAAGGUGUUGGUUGAUAUAGACAGCAGGACGGUGGCCAUGGAAGUUGGAAUCCGCUAAGGAGUGUGUAACAACUCACCUGCUGAAUCAACUACCUUAAGUUAAUAGC
Molecule: non-coding RNA, 124 nt
Filed under: Alligator sinensis (Chinese alligator)
Lineage: Eukaryota; Metazoa; Chordata; Crocodylia; Alligatoridae
Description: Eukaryotic large subunit ribosomal RNA
Rfam family: Eukaryotic large subunit ribosomal RNA
Source: Rfam by way of RNAcentral